GACAGAUUUGGGAUCACCUCGUUAGAACUGAUAAGAGAGGCCGGAGUCCAUCUUGAAAAUUAUUCCUUAGUUUUUCCUUACCCUGCUUCAUCUAACAUUGUGAUUAGUUGAAACACUACAUAACCUUGUUUGAAUUUGAAGCUAAUAGGCCACACCAAAUAUAAAGAGGUAUGGCAGGUGCACAGAAUACUCACAUUGCUAACAAGUUUGGGGAAGAAGUUUAUAUCGCUGUCGUUCACCCUAAUGAACGUGAAGAUCGGAUUUACGUGGAGGCCGGUAAAAUUCGGAAUGUGGCUACAGACAAAGGGCCUGUGACUGUGAAAGUCUUUAACCCGUAUUAUGAGAAUACGGAGCUGGUGGAACAGAGGACCAUUCCAUCUGAUAUGAGCGUCGUGAUUGUGAAGUCUGGAACCGGAAGACCUAAAAUUUCCCGUGUAAUAUAUGGGAAAUUAUGGGAUGUAGACCCUUAUGAUGAGGGCAAAUAAAAAGGUUGCAGUUGUAAAUGCCAAUAACAAUAUCUAUAUAAUAUCUAUAUAAUAUCUAUAUAAUAUCUAUACUGCCUUUAUAAAAGUUCAAAUUCAGGGCUAGAUUACGAGUGGAGCGGUAGUUUGCACUCACUUGUUAAUUCCGCUAGACGGAGGCUUUUGAAAGUAAAAGAUGAAAGUAAACAUUUUUUUGCACGAGCACUAACCCA
Bombina bombina (fire-bellied toad) is the source of this 694-nucleotide long non-coding RNA. RefSeq lists it as uncharacterized. The transcript is spliced from 3 exons. The record is from RefSeq and is a predicted model, not a curated record. NCBI's taxonomy places the organism in Eukaryota, Metazoa, Chordata, Amphibia, Anura, Bombinatoridae.